RNAcentral lists this ribosomal RNA (1066 nucleotides) under Vibrio parahaemolyticus. RNAcentral describes it as "bacterial SSU rRNA". It matches the Rfam family "Bacterial small subunit ribosomal RNA", at positions 468 to 1533 of the family's 1533-position model. Lineage: Bacteria; Pseudomonadati; Pseudomonadota; Gammaproteobacteria; Vibrionales; Vibrionaceae. The record is from RNAcentral.
UUUGACGUUAGCGACAGAAGAAGCACCGGCUAACUCCGUGCCAGCAGCCGCGGUAAUACGGAGGGUGCGAGCGUUAAUCGGAAUUACUGGGCGUAAAGCGCAUGCAGGUGGUUUGUUAAGUCAGAUGUGAAAGCCCGGGGCUCAACCUCGGAAUUGCAUUUGAAACUGGCAGACUAGAGUACUGUAGAGGGGGGUAGAAUUUCAGGUGUAGCGGUGAAAUGCGUAGAGAUCUGAAGGAAUACCGGUGGCGAAGGCGGCCCCCUGGACAGAUACUGACACUCAGAUGCGAAAGCGUGGGGAGCAAACAGGAUUAGAUACCCUGGUAGUCCACGCCGUAAACGAUGUCUACUUGGAGGUUGUGGCCUUGAGCCGUGGCUUUCGGAGCUAACGCGUUAAGUAGACCGCCUGGGGAGUACGGUCGCAAGAUUAAAACUCAAAUGAAUUGACGGGGGCCCGCACAAGCGGUGGAGCAUGUGGUUUAAUUCGAUGCAACGCGAAGAACCUUACCUACUCUUGACAUCCAGAGAACUUUCCAGAGAUGGAUUGGUGCCUUCGGGAACUCUGAGACAGGUGCUGCAUGGCUGUCGUCAGCUCGUGUUGUGAAAUGUUGGGUUAAGUCCCGCAACGAGCGCAACCCUUAUCCUUGUUUGCCAGCGAGUAAUGUCGGGAACUCCAGGGAGACUGCCGGUGAUAAACCGGAGGAAGGUGGGGACGACGUCAAGUCAUCAUGGCCCUUACGAGUAGGGCUACACACGUGCUACAAUGGCGCAUACAGAGGGCAGCCAACUUGCGAAAGUGAGCGAAUCCCAAAAAGUGCGUCGUAGUCCGGAUUGGAGUCUGCAACUCGACUCCAUGAAGUCGGAAUCGCUAGUAAUCGUGGAUCAGAAUGCCACGGUGAAUACGUUCCCGGGCCUUGUACACACCGCCCGUCACACCAUGGGAGUGGGCUGCAAAAGAAGUAGGUAGUUUAACCUUCGGGGGGACGCUUACCACUUUGUGGUUCAUGACUGGGGUGAAGUCGUAACAAGGUAGCGCUAGGGGAACCUGGCGCUGGAUCACCUCCUUA